Molecule: ribosomal RNA, 459 nt
Filed under: uncultured Bacillus sp.
Lineage: Bacteria; Bacillati; Bacillota; Bacilli; Caryophanales; Bacillaceae
Description: bacterial SSU rRNA
Rfam family: Bacterial small subunit ribosomal RNA
Source: RNAcentral
ACGGAAGGCAGCAGUAGGGAAUCUUCCGCAAUGGACGAAAGUCUGACGGAGCAACGCCGCGUGAGCGAUGAAGGCCUUCGGGUCGUAAAGCUCUGUUGUUAGGGAAGAACAAGUAUCGGAGUAACUGCCGGUACCUUGACGGUACCUAACCAGAAAGCCACGGCUAACUACGUGCCAGCAGCCGCGGUAAUACGUAGGUGGCAAGCGUUGUCCGGAAUUAUUGGGCGUAAAGCGCGCGCAGGCGGUCCUUUAAGUCUGAUGUGAAAGCCCACGGCUCAACCGUGGAGGGUCAUUGGAAACUGGGGGACUUGAGUACAGAAGAGGAAAGCGGAAUUCCACGUGUAGCGGUGAAAUGCGUAGAGAUGUGGAGGAACACCAGUGGCGAAGGCGGCUUUCUGGUCUGUAACUGACGCUGAGGCGCGAAAGCGUGGGGAGCAAACAGGAUUAGAUACCCUGGUA